Molecule: ribosomal RNA, 811 nt
Filed under: uncultured bacterium
Lineage: Bacteria
Description: bacterial SSU rRNA
Rfam family: Bacterial small subunit ribosomal RNA
Source: RNAcentral
AGAGUUUGAUCAUGGCUCAGGAUGAACGCUGGCGGCGUGCCUAACACAUGCAAGUCGAACGAAGCUUGAGGAAUGAUUUCUUCGGAAUGAAUUCUGAUAUGACUUAGUGGCGGACGGGUGAGUAACACGUGAGCAACCUGCCUUUCAGAGGGGGAUAACGGCUGGAAACGGUCGCUAAUACCGCAUGAAAUGUUUGGAUGGCAUCGUCUGAACAUCAAAGAUUUAUCGCUGAAAGAUGGGCUCGCGUCUGAUUAGAUAGUUGGUGAGGUAACGGCUCACCAAGUCGACGAUCAGUAGCCGGACUGAGAGGUUGAACGGCCACAUUGGGACUGAGAUACGGCCCAGACUCCUACGGGAGGCAGCAGUGGGGAAUAUUGCACAAUGGGGGAAACCCUGAUGCAGCAACGCCGCGUGAAGGAAGACGGUUUUCGGAUUGUAAACUCCUUUUCUUUGUGAAGAAACAAAUGACGGUAGCAAAGGAAUAAGCAUCGGCUAACUACGUGCCAGCAGCCGCGGUAAUACGUAGGAUGCAAGCGUUAUCCGGAUUUACUGGGUGUAAAGGGAGCGCAGGCGGGACUUCAAGUUGGAUGUGGAAGGUCAAGGCUUAACCUUGGCACUGCAUCCAAAACUGUAGUUCUUGAGUGGAGUAGAGGUAAGCGGAAUUCCGAGUGUAGCGGUGAAAUGCGUAGAUAUUCGGAGGAACACCAGUGGCGAAGGCGGCUUACUGGGCUCUAACUGACGCUGAGGCUCGAAAGUGUGGGGAGCAAACAGGAUUAGAUACCCUGGUAGUCCACACUGUAAACGAUGAUAG